UAAUUGUUCAAAUGCAAAAAUUGAUGUCUACAUUUAGAAUUUGUUAAUUUUUAGUAUUCUUAGUUACAAUUUCUCAUUAGUAGAAUACAGAGAGAAAAAAAAUUCUCCUUGGAUAAAAUUUUCUCAGUUGAAACUAGUGAUCAUUAUUGGAUUUUGUGAAUCUGAAGGAAGAAUAGUGUGGUCCUGAUUGAGUGGUGGUGGUGCACACUCAUAACACUAGCAGUUGGGAGGCAGAAGCAGUAGUGUCAAUACAAGGUUAAGCCUAGCCUUGUCUAUAGACCAGCCCGAGCCAUAGAGUGAUAUCCUGUCUCAAAAGAAAAAAAUAACAACCCAGUAAAAACGUUACUGUAAGUCACUCCUUAGUGGCAGGAAUAUGUAGGGACAUAGGCUGUUUCAGGCUGUUUAGUCCUGUCCUUUUUUUUUUUUUUUAAAGUCAGAUUGGCCUUGAACUUUUUAUCCUCCUUUUCUUUGCCUCCUAAUUGCUGGGAUUACAGGCAGACACCACCAUUCCUGGUCCUGUCUUUAUAAUGUUAAACUAUAUGUUUACCCCUUUCAAUCUCAUCCUUCAAUUUUUGCUUAGAUCAGUAGUUCUUAAUUUUUUGUUUUGAAGACAACCUCUUUCUUUGAACAUUAUAAGAUCCCAAAGAGCCUUUGUUUAUAUGGAAUUAAUUUAGUGAUACUUAUCACAUUACAAUUCAAAGUGAAAAUUUGUUUAUCAAUACCAAAAACAUACUAUGUAUAAAAUAAUAGUUUAUGAAAAAUGCCAUAUUUUCUAAAAUAAGUCUUAUUAACAAUUUAAUAAAAAUACUGUUUUACAGUAUUACAAGUCUCUAUUCUCCCUAGCUAGUAGAUGUAAUCUCAUUUCUGUUCUCCUUCCAGUUUCUUCCUUCAGUCUAUUUCAGACCAUGUUAUAAACUUCCAAAAUCUCUAUCCUCCUCCUCUGUUCUCAGGCCAAAUUGGAUUUGAAAGGGCUUGCCUUAUCAUUACUAUUAUUGAAUAUUACAUUGUUGUUGUUGUUAGCCUUUGUUCUUUAGUCUAUGGAAUUCAGAAAACCAGGUUCUCACUGGCUCAUGGUCAUGAAAUUAUGGGUAAAUUACACAACUGAUUGAAACAUCACUUUUCUAAUCCUUUUGAUACAAUUAGCUCCCCCUACCUCAUAAUUUGUUGUGACAACUAUAUAAAAUAAUUGAAUAAGAAAAGUUUAAAAGUAAUUCAGAACUCAGGUUUGAUUUAGUUACUUUUGUAACUGAACUGUUCUAUUUCACAUUCUCUACUGUCUUUUCCUGUAAGAGUGUUUUUCUAAAUGGAAUUUAGUAUUUGUAGGAUGAAUAUUAUUCUCUAACUUUUGUCAAAGAUUAUAUAUUCUUCCAGGCUUAGCAAUAGUUAUGCUCAGUUACAUAUUUUACAUUUUACAUAUUUUCAGAUAAACAUUCUAGACUUUGACUUCUUCCUCAGUACUGUUAUGUAUUAGAUGCUAAUAAACAGUUUAAUCCCUUCUUUUUGGAGCAUAGAGCACUUUAAAAAAUAUAGUAACACCAUUCUGGGGGACUCCCAAGGUGAACAGGAAUACAUAAAGGAAGAUGAAACGGAGCAAAAUGAGAUAAGCCUCUUUAAAAACAAAAAAUAAAAUGCUAAUUUUUAUUUAUUAAUGUACUAGGAAGGCGCAGGUAUCUUUCUUCAGAGUAAUAAUGGAUUUGACCUGAACAGAAUGGGUAAGAAGAAAAGACCUUACCCACACUGUGAAGUGACAUGACUAAGAAAGGGUAGGAUACAAGGGGCCAGUUCAGAAUAGGGAAAAACCACAGGGUGUGUGAAGGGAAAGAAAGCAGAUGUUGAAGUCCAAUCAAAUCAUUUUAAGUAUGCUCUUCCCCCCAAACCAAAUUUCUCUUUCCCUCUUCCCUACAACCCCUAUUUCCACACAGCAAAUUCCUUUCAGUCUUUGCUUCAGGUCAGCCGUGAGUGCAGCUUUGCUGUUAAGUAUUCCUGCCAUGUGCUUUGUAUGCUCCUGAGUCCUUGUAUUGUGUGCCCCUUUUCCCAAGCCUAAAAUCAUUUUACUUUUUUCAGUUCUGUUCUAUUUAAAAUUCAAUUCAAAUUGUGUUUUUUUUUUUUUUAAUUGUCUUGGACUAGAGAUGCAUCAUCUCUCUUUUCCAGUAGUUUUUAAAGAGCGUACUGUUCUGGUCUUUAAAAUUUUGAAGUGUCAGAGAGAUGUUUCAGGAGGUUAAGAGCACUGGCUGCUCCCAGAUAACCCGGGUUCUAUUCACAGGGCCCAGUUCCAAGGGCACUGCACACAGUGAUGCAUAGAUGUAUGCAGGCAAAACACCCAUUCACAUAAAAUAAAAUGAUCUUUAAAAAAUACUAAAGCAUCCUAAUCUUAUUGAUUGUUAUCUUAAGCUGUUUAUUUAUAUCUUACAACAUUAUAUAACAUACUCAGUGUAAGCUUUAUGUUUUUUAAUGAGUUAAUUUCUGAGUUUUAUGCUGUUAUUUGGUUUGGUUAUUUAUCUGGUACUGGGAACUGAACCCUGGGUUCUUGAUGCAUUAUUUACCAGUGAGUUACACCUUCUGACCAAAUUAUGAACUCAAAAUUGUUUCUCCUAAUGUCUCCCUUUUGUUCUUCUUAUGCCAUCUUUUUUUCUCAUGUUUUAAGAUUUAUAUUUCUCUUAGUUGAUCAAAAUUGAAUUGAGCCAUAAAAACACAUAAACCCUCCUAAGCUCCAGACACUUAGGCCAGUCCUUUGUUCUCUAGACUCCCUUUAGAUACCUUGUAAAACUUGAAUGUUUUUUACCAUAUCAGGUGGGGCUUGUUUUUUUUAGGCAAAUUUUAUUAUUUAUUUUUAUAGGUAUGGAAAAGUUGAGGCCACUCGCAUAUUAUUAGAGAAAGGAAAGUGCAAUCCAAACCUUUUAAAUGGGCAGCUCAGCUCACCGCUUCACUUUGCUGCUGGAGGCGGCCAUGCUGAAAUAGUGCAGAUCCUCCUGACUCACCCAGACAUUGACAGGGUACGUUAGUUUCUUGUUUUUAUAUUUUAAUACUUAGCGACUAAUAAGUAGUGAUAAAAAAAUGUUUAAUUGCAUAUUUAACAGGUCAACUAAAACAAACUUUAUAGAGUUUAUGUAUUAACUGUGCCUCUUCUCAUAAGUUUUUAAUUGUUGUUAUUGAUAAAGUACACUUUACACUUCACAAAAAAUGCAGUGUUUUAACCACUUAGAUGCACAGUUCAGAGCAUCUACUACAUGUAUUGUUUAUAAAGUCAUUACAUAUAUCCAUCUCCAGAAUAUACAUGAAAUUCACUCUACAUUGCAUUUCCCCCAACAUGUCCUGAAAGAAAACCUUUUACCCAUUUUCUAAAAUUUUCUACUGACAAGUAUUUGG
Molecule: long non-coding RNA, 3366 nt
Filed under: Mus musculus (house mouse)
Lineage: Eukaryota; Metazoa; Chordata; Mammalia; Rodentia; Muridae
Description: long non-coding RNA chr5:3815690-3819056
Source: RNAcentral